CCGAAUAGCGUGCACCAUAGUACAAUAUUUUUAAGGGUAAACUUCAAAUACUAUUCCUAUGAUUUCGCGCUUUUUCACUUCAGUACUCUGUGAUUUAAAGUGUAUCAUUUUAGUAUCCCGUGAUUUUAUUUUUCUCUUUCCAUCAAUGCCUCCGUUAACUUUUCAUAAAUUAUACACAAAAAACUUAAGAUAUCACACCUAUGGUUUACCGAAUGUUCACUUUAGUAUCCUGUAAUUUUAAUUUUAUCUGUAAUUUAACAAAAAAAUUAACGUAGAAUAAUAACAGAAAGAGGAAAAUGAAACCACAAGUACUAAAAUGAUACAUUUUAAAUUACAGAAUACUAAAAUAAAAAAAAUGCAAAAUUAUGAAAGUGAUAUUUGAAGUUUUUUCUAUUUUUAAAUAAGUAUAAUUCUUGUAAAAA
This 422-nucleotide long non-coding RNA is filed under the name Ananas comosus (pineapple). RNAcentral describes it as "long non-coding RNA (ACOM_LNC019346)". The record is from RNAcentral. Lineage: Eukaryota; Viridiplantae; Streptophyta; Magnoliopsida; Poales; Bromeliaceae.